This 399-nucleotide ribosomal RNA is filed under the name uncultured bacterium. RNAcentral's name for it is "bacterial SSU rRNA". It matches the Rfam family "Bacterial small subunit ribosomal RNA", at positions 30 to 426 of the family's 1533-position model. The record is from RNAcentral.
AGCGAACGUUUGCGGCGGGCUUAACACAUGCAAGUCGAACGGGCUGUUCCUUCGGGGGCAGUCAGUGGCGCACGGGUGCGUAACACGUAGGUAAUCAACCCUCUGGUUGGGGAUAACACUUCGAAAGGAGUGCUAAUACCCGGUAUGGCGCAGCGGUCUUCGGAUCGCGGCGAGAAAGACCCGCAAGGGUUGCCAGAGGACGAGCCUGCGGCCCAUCAGCUAGUUGGCGAGGUAACGGCUCACCAAGGCGAAGACGGGUAGCUGGUCUGAGAGGAUGAUCAGCCACACUGGAACUGAGGCACGGUCCAGACUCCUACGGGAGGCAGCAGUGGGGAAUAUUGCGCAAUGGGCGAAAGCCUGACGCAGCCACGCCGCGUGAGCGAUGAAGGCCUCGGUCGG